This is a long non-coding RNA of Cydia fagiglandana, 371 nucleotides long. RefSeq lists it as uncharacterized. The transcript has 2 exons. The record is from RefSeq and is a predicted model, not a curated record. NCBI's taxonomy places the organism in Eukaryota, Metazoa, Arthropoda, Insecta, Lepidoptera, Tortricidae.
CCCUAUUGUUGUAUUUUCUGUAGUUUAUAAAUAUAUCGAUUUUAUCGCUUAUCUUUAAUUUACGAAUAUGUUACCCGAAUCGAAAAAAAUGAUUUGGCCAUAACGCUGGUUUUAAAUAAAAAACCGGUCAAGACGUAAACGUUGGUGCAGUGAUUUAUUAUUGUUGAAUACUUCAGAUAUACGAUGAGAAUAAAAUAACUAUAAGCAUAAUUAUAUUCAAAAAGUUAAAGUACUUUAAGUGGUAACGAAAAACAUAUUAUAAUUGCGUGGUUUUGUUUUUAAUUAUUUGAAUGGAUCAUACACAUUUACAAUAUAUGGGUUCGGUCAUGUGUCAAAUAUGUGACGUUAGAAUAACUUCACUAUAAGGAUAA